AAGGCUACUGUUUACACACAGGGGGACAGCAGACCCCCCACGGACCCAGGUCAUGGGGGUCCGCGGUUUUCCACUUGGGGGCUCUGUACUUUGCAGCAGCAUACCCCCCUACACUAGAGCAAGGGGGCUUUAAACACAGAUUUGCGGACUCCCCCCUCCCCUUACAGUAAGGGCACAGAGGCCCAUUACACCGGGCCCCCUACCCUAAUAGGAGGGACACACUGGGCCUUCACGCCGGCUUUUCC
Molecule: non-coding RNA, 245 nt
Organism: Pelobates cultripes (western spadefoot toad)
Lineage: Eukaryota; Metazoa; Chordata; Amphibia; Anura; Pelobatidae
Source: the annotation of a GenBank genome assembly